This 492-nucleotide ribosomal RNA is filed under the name uncultured bacterium. RNAcentral describes it as "partial 16S ribosomal RNA". It matches the Rfam family "Bacterial small subunit ribosomal RNA", at positions 29 to 507 of the family's 1533-position model. The record is from RNAcentral.
AGUGAACGCUGGCGGUAGGCCUAACACAUGCAAGUCGAACGGCAGCACAGUAAGCGCUUGCUCUUACGGGUGGCGAGUGGCGGACGGGUGAGGAAUACAUCGGAAUCUACUUUUUCGUGGGGGAUAACGUAGGGAAACUUACGCUAAUACCGCAUACGACCUACGGGUGAAAGCAGGGGAUCUUCGGACCUUGCGCGAUUGUAUGAGCCGAUGUCGGAUUAGCUAGUUGGCGGGGUAAAGGCCCACCAAGGCGACGAUCCGUAGCUGGUCUGAGAGGAUGAUCAGCCACACUGGAACUGAGACACGGUCCAGACUCCUACGGGAGGCAGCAGUGGGGAAUAUUGGACAAUGGGCGCAAGCCUGAUCCAGCCAUACCGCGUGGGUGAAGAAGGACUUCGGGUUGUAAAGCCCUUUUGUUGGGAAAGAAAAGCAGCAGGUUAAUACCCCGCUGUUCUGACGGUACCCAAAGAAUAAGCACCGGCUAACUUCGUG